RNAcentral lists this ribosomal RNA (1352 nucleotides) under uncultured bacterium. RNAcentral's name for it is "bacterial SSU rRNA". It matches the Rfam family "Bacterial small subunit ribosomal RNA", at positions 28 to 1381 of the family's 1533-position model. The record is from RNAcentral.
AUUGAACGCUGGCGGCAUGCCUUACACAUGCAAGUCGAACGGCAGCACGGAGCUUGCUCUGGUGGCGAGUGGCGAACGGGUGAGUAAUAUAUCGGAACGUACCCUAGAGUGGGGGAUAACGUAGCGAAAGUUACGCUAAUACCGCAUACGAUCUAAGGAUGAAAGUGGGGGAUCGCAAGACCUCAUGCUCGUGGAGCGGCCGAUAUCUGAUUAGCUAGUUGGUAGGGUAAAAGCCCACCAAGGCAUCGAUCAGUAGCUGGUCUGAGAGGACGACCAGCCACACUGGAACUGAGACACGGUCCAGACUCCUACGGGAGGCAGCAGUGGGGAAUUUUGGACAAUGGGCGAAAGCCUGAUCCAGCAAUGCCGCGUGAGUGAAGAAGGCCUUCGGGUUGUAAAGCUCUUUUGUCAGGGAAGAAACGGUGAGAGCUAAUAUCUCUUGCUAAUGACGGUACCUGAAGAAUAAGCACCGGCUAACUACGUGCCAGCAGCCGCGGUAAUACGUAGGGUGCAAGCGUUAAUCGGAAUUACUGGGCGUAAAGCGUGCGCAGGCGGUUUUGUAAGUCUGAUGUGAAAUCCCCGGGCUCAACCUGGGAAUUGCAUUGGAGACUGCAAGGCUAGAAUCUGGCAGAGGGGGGUAGAAUUCCACGUGUAGCAGUGAAAUGCGUAGAUAUGUGGAGGAACACCGAUGGCGAAGGCAGCCCCCUGGGUCAAGAUUGACGCUCAUGCACGAAAGCGUGGGGAGCAAACAGGAUUAGAUACCCUGGUAGUCCACGCCCUAAACGAUGUCUACUAGUUGUCGGGUCUUAAUUGACUUGGUAACGCAGCUAACGCGUGAAGUAGACCGCCUGGGGAGUACGGUCGCAAGAUUAAAACUCAAAGGAAUUGACGGGGACCCGCACAAGCGGUGGAUGAUGUGGAUUAAUUCGAUGCAACGCGAAAAACCUUACCUACCCUUGACAUGGCUGGAAUCCUUGAGAGAUCAGGGAGUGCUCGAAAGAGAACCAGUACACAGGUGCUGCAUGGCUGUCGUCAGCUCGUAUCGUGAGAUGUUGGGUUAAGUCCCGCAACGAGCGCAACCCUUGUCAUUAGUUGCUACGAAAGGGCACUCUAAUGAGACUGCCGGUGACAAACCGGAGGAAGGUGGGGAUGACGUCAAGUCCUCAUGGCCCUUAUGGGUAGGGCUUCACACGUCAUACAAUGGUACAUACAGAGCGCCGCCAACCCGCGAGGGGGAGCUAAUCGCAGAAAGUGUAUCGUAGUCCGGAUUGUAGUCUGCAACUCGACUGCAUGAAGUUGGAAUCGCUAGUAAUCGCGGAUCAGCAUGUCGCGGUGAAUACGUUCCCGGGUCU